This 351-nucleotide unclassified non-coding RNA is filed under the name Hevea brasiliensis (rubber tree). Lineage: Eukaryota; Viridiplantae; Streptophyta; Magnoliopsida; Malpighiales; Euphorbiaceae. The record is from RNAcentral.
AUUUCUGUUAAUCGAUGUUGUAAAACAAGAAGAUGUUAGUGUGAAUUAUUUUCAUUGAAGAAUGGUAGAGAUUUAUACAGAAAGUGUUCCUGAAUGCGCUCCUACAAUUACGUAAUUACACCUAUAAUUGAGGUAUAUACAAGGUAAAGUUAUAUACAGAGAAUCAAACACCCAGCAAUUGCUCUUUUUGAUUCCUGAACUUUAGAGAUAUCAUUGUUGUCAUAUCAUUGACUUGUCAACAAAGGUGAGGUCUUCCUCUGUAAACUACUCAGAAAUAAGAGGAUUUCAUAUUGCAAUUCUGAAUGUAGUUCUAUAGAGCUAUAUGAAGAUUUCAUCUAUCCAAUUUUCCUG